Molecule: ribosomal RNA, 377 nt
Filed under: uncultured bacterium
Lineage: Bacteria
Description: bacterial SSU rRNA
Rfam family: Bacterial small subunit ribosomal RNA
Source: RNAcentral
UAAUACAGAGGGUGCGAGCGUUAAUCGGAAUUACUGGGCGUAAAGGGUGUGUAGGUGGUAUCGUAAGUUAGAUGUGAAAUCCCCGGGCUUAACCUGGGAACUGCGUUUAAAACUGCGAAGCUAGAGUAUUGCAGAGGAUAGUGGAAUUUCCAGUGUAGCGGUGAAAUGCGUAGAUAUUGGAAGGAACACCAGUGGCGAAGGCGACUAUCUGGGCAAAUACUGACACUGAGACACGAAAGCGUGGGGAGCAAACAGGAUUAGAUACCCUGGUAGUCCAUGCUGUAAACUAUGAGAACUUGCUGUUGGAUGCAUAAAGGCAUUUAGUAGCGAAGCUAACGCGUUAAGUUCUCCGCCUGGGGAGUACGGCCGCAAGGCUA